CUGUCACGCAACAACAAAAAAAGCUACAGAUGGAUUUGACUACUAGCCUUUUUUUGGUCAGAUUUUCAAUAGAUGUUGCAAUAAUAUCGUUGUCAUGCCUUAGCUAUAGUAUACAUACAUUUAUCCAUUUUUAUUCAGCAACCCCCUACAUUAUUUAAUGCCAAAAGAUGCAAUUGCAUUAAUGCAAUUAGUAAUACAAGUAUAGGCCUAAAUAUCAGAUGUUUUUAUUAGCAUAUCUAAGGAAAUGGUUGGAAGAAAUACAGAUAACUUCACUACCAACAAUCAAUGUCAAGUAGUUAGCUCGUAAACCUAGUUGGAGUGUAAAAACAGUGAAACUUUGCAUUAAUUUAGGUCACAACAUUAAAUAACGUUAAAUAAGUGGGUGUACUGCUAACUGCUUCUUUACCUUGCUAGCUAGAAACAGCCCUAACUAACCUUAAACUCAACUCACAGCAAACAACAGCAAGGCGCUCUUUAGCAAAUUACAGUAACGCUACUUACUUUUCGUUGGACAGGUAGCAGCGUGGGAAGGUUGGCAAAGUCAAGUUGUUAUGAAUUUUGUGCUACUGAUGAUUUGAAGAUAAGCGGUUUCCCGGGGAAGUGUAUCCUAGCAACCGCAAGUGAUGCAGCCCCGUAGAGUUCCAACAGGUGUGUGUUUCCCCUACAUAGUAUGCCAUUUUCUCCCCCCUUAGCUUUGCACUCUGAGGUUGGUUAAGAAUCAAAGCUAAUUUUGGGUUGGGUUAAAUCGAUGAGGUAAUGUAAGUGUAAUGCCAAUUUACGUUUUGGCUUAGUUAUUUAUCGCAUGCGUGGUGUCCUGGACGAAAGGAACGAUCUUCAUUUAGGCCCCUCUUGCUAGAUUUCAGACACUGUCACUUUCAAAUGAGGGAUGCAUCGUAACCGCGACAGAGAGCUGCCGCAGAUGACUUCAUUAAAACUCCUAAGAAGUCCAGCUCCGAGCAGACAGACAGCGAUCGGGGUGAGAGCUGCGCCUGUAAUGAAGUGUCCCAUUGAGUUUGCUGAAGUGGACUUAUCUCCCACAACGUCCCUCCUCACGUCUCACUCUUUCCCCGAUUCCAGACAGAGCUGUGUUCAGAGAGACCUCUCUUUUCUGGGAUCAAUCCCACACCUCAACUGCACAUCCUCCUCAAUAGCUGACAGAGUGCUGCAUGAUGCUCAAGCCUCAUCCUUUGGCAGUGCACACAUGGGACACAAGGAACAGAUGCAAGGAUGGACGUGA
This 1237-nucleotide long non-coding RNA is filed under the name Sparus aurata (gilthead seabream). RNAcentral's name for it is "lncRNA (ENSSAUG00010014961.1)". The record is from RNAcentral. Lineage: Eukaryota; Metazoa; Chordata; Actinopteri; Spariformes; Sparidae.